This 376-nucleotide ribosomal RNA is filed under the name uncultured bacterium. RNAcentral's name for it is "bacterial SSU rRNA". It matches the Rfam family "Bacterial small subunit ribosomal RNA", at positions 523 to 898 of the family's 1533-position model. The record is from RNAcentral.
AUACGUAGGUGGCGAGCGUUGUCCGGAAUUACUGGGCGUAAAGGGUGCGUAGGCGGGGUUUUAAGUCAGAUGUGAAAUUCCGGAGCUUAACUUCGGAACUGCAUUUGAAACUGGGACUCUGGAGUGCAGGAGAGGAAAGCGGAAUUCCUAGUGUAGCGGUGAAAUGCGUAGAUAUUAGGAAGAACACCAGUGGCGAAGGCGGCUUUCUGGACUGUAACUGACGCUGAGGCACGAAAGCGUGGGGAGCAAACAGGAUUAGAUACCCUGGUAGUCCACGCUGUAAACGAUGAGUGCUAGGUGUAGGGGGUGUCAUGCCUUCUGUGCCGGAGCAAACGCAAUAAGCACUCCGCCUGGGGAGUACGGUCGCAAGACUAAA